GAUGAACGCUGGCGGCGUGCCUAAUACAUGCAAGUCGAGCGAACAGACGAGGAGCUUGCUCCUCUGACGUUAACGGCGGACGGGUGAGUAACACGUGGAUAACCUACCUAUAAGACUGGGAUAACUUCGGGAAACCGGAGCUAAUACCGGAUAAUAUAUUGAACCGCAUGGUUCAAUAGUGAAAGACGGUUUUGAUGUCCCUUAUAGCUGGAUCCGCGCGGCAUUGGCUAGUUGGUAAGGUAACGGCUUACCAAGGCAACGAUGCGUAGCCGACCUGAGAGGGUGAUCGGCCACACUGGAACUGAGACACGGUCCAGACUCCUACGGGAGGCAGCAGUAGGGAAUCUUGCGCAAUGGGCGAAAGCCUGACGGAGCAACGCCGCGUGAGUGAUGAAGGUCUGCGGAUCGUAAAACUCUGUUAUUAGUGAAGAACAAAUGUGUAAGUAACUAUGCACGUCUUGACGGUACCUAAUCAGAAAGCCACGGCUAACUACGUG
This 497-nucleotide ribosomal RNA is filed under the name uncultured bacterium. Its description in RNAcentral is "partial 16S ribosomal RNA". It matches the Rfam family "Bacterial small subunit ribosomal RNA", at positions 28 to 507 of the family's 1533-position model. The record is from RNAcentral.